GACAGAGGAUGCAAGCGUUAUCCGGAAUUAUUGGGCGUAAAGCGUCUGUAGGUGGCUUUUCAAGUCCGCCGUGAAAUCCCAGGGCUCAACCCUGGACAGGCGGUGGAAACUACCAAGCUGGAGUACGGUAGGGGCAGAGGGAAUUUCCGGUGGAGCGGUGAAAUGCAUUGAGAUCGGGAAGAACACCAACGGCGAAAGCACUCUGCUGGGCCGACACUGACACUGAGAGACGAAAGCUAGGGGAGCAAAUGGG
Molecule: ribosomal RNA, 253 nt
Filed under: uncultured bacterium
Lineage: Bacteria
Description: partial 16S ribosomal RNA
Rfam family: Bacterial small subunit ribosomal RNA
Source: RNAcentral